This 440-nucleotide ribosomal RNA is filed under the name uncultured bacterium. RNAcentral's name for it is "partial 16S ribosomal RNA". It matches the Rfam family "Bacterial small subunit ribosomal RNA", at positions 338 to 795 of the family's 1533-position model. The record is from RNAcentral.
CCUACGGGAGGCAGCAGUGGGGAAUAUUGCACAAUGGGGGAAACCCUGAUGCAGCGACGCCGCGUGAGUGAAGAAGUAUUUCGGUAUGUAAAGCUCUAUCAGCAGGGAAGAAAAUGACGGUACCUGAUUAAGAAGCCCCGGCUAACUACGUGCCAGCAGCCGCGGUAAUACGGAGGGGGCAAGCGUUAUCCGGAUGUACUGGGUGUAAAGGGAGCGUAGACGGCAGCACAAGUCUGGAGUGAAAUGCCGGGGCUUAACCCCGGAACUGCUUUGGAAACUGUGCAGCUUGAGUACCGGAGAAGUAAGCGGAAGGCGUGGUGUAGCGGUGAAAUGCAUAGAUAUUAGGAGGAACACCAGUGGCGAAGGCGGGUUGCUGGACUGUAACUGACACUGAGGCACGAAAGCGUGGGGAGCAAACAGGAUUAGAUACCCCUGUAGUC